UGGUCUUAGCUUGCUAAGGCUGAUGGCGACCGGCGCACGGGUGAGUAACACGUAUCCAACCUGCCGUCUACUCUUGGCCAGCCUUCUGAAAGGAAGAUUACUCCAGGAUGGCAUCAUGAGUUCACAUGUCCGCAUGAUUAAAGGUAUUUUCCGGUAGACGAUGGGGAUGCGUUCCAUUAGAUAGUAGGCGGGGUAACGGCCCACCUAGUCAACGAUAGAUAGGGGUUCUGAGAGGAAGGUCCCCCACAUUGGAACUGAGACACGGUCCAAACUCCUACGGGAGGCAGCAGUGAGGAAUAUUGGUCAAUGGGCGAUGGCCUGAACCAGCCAAGUAGCGUGAAGGAUGACUGCCCUAUGGGUUGUAAACUUCUUUUAUAAAGGAAUAAAGUCGGGUAUGCAUACCCGUUUGCAUGUACUUUAUGAAUAAGGAUCGGCUAACUCCGUGCCAGCAGCCGCGGUAAUACGGAGGAUCCGAGCGUUAUCCGGAUUUAUUGGGUUUAAAGGGAGCGUAGAUGGAUGUUUAAGUCAGUUGUGAAAGUUUGCGGCUCAACCGUAAAAUUGCAGUUGAUACUGGAUGUCUUGAGUGCAGUUGAGGCAGGCGGAAUUCGUGGUGUAGCGGUGAAAUGCUUAGAUAUCACGAAGAACUCCGAUUG
Molecule: ribosomal RNA, 653 nt
Filed under: uncultured Bacteroides sp.
Lineage: Bacteria; Pseudomonadati; Bacteroidota; Bacteroidia; Bacteroidales; Bacteroidaceae
Description: bacterial SSU rRNA
Rfam family: Bacterial small subunit ribosomal RNA
Source: RNAcentral